RNAcentral lists this long non-coding RNA (215 nucleotides) under Brassica napus (rape). RNAcentral's name for it is "long non-coding RNA (BNAP_LNC006829)". Lineage: Eukaryota; Viridiplantae; Streptophyta; Magnoliopsida; Brassicales; Brassicaceae. The record is from RNAcentral.
UACAUCAGCAUGUUACUCACAGCACAAUACAAUAGUCUGGUACAAAAGACUACUACAUCAACCUACAUAUAUCCGAUGAGGAAAGUCACCAAAAAACUUCAUACAUUCCCUCAAUUAUACCCAAAGAAGUGGAUUAACCUUAUUCAUAGACACCGAGAUGCUUGUAAUCACGUUUCUCUGUGCUGUUUAUCCUGGUCUCAUCAAAUAUCUCACUC